CAGUGUUCCUGCCCUCACGGGUAGAAACCCCCAUCCUUGUGUAUCAUAUCUUUGUUGCUUUGGCAGGCCGCCUUCGGGCACCGGCUCACGCUGGAUCGUGCCUGCCAGAGGACCCCAAAUUCUGAAUGUUAGUGUCGUCUGAGUACUAUAUAUAAUAGUUA
RNAcentral lists this unclassified non-coding RNA (161 nucleotides) under uncultured Hymenoscyphus. RNAcentral describes it as "sequence contains ITS1". Lineage: Eukaryota; Fungi; Ascomycota; Leotiomycetes; Helotiales; Helotiaceae. The record is from RNAcentral.